GACUCUUUCUGCAACGGACCCCAGACCAGUAACAUAACAAAGAAAAAAAUACGAGACACGAUACACAAACGCACCCUUACACACACACCAUGGACCUCUAUGUCCAGCACACAAAACACACACAGGACCUGUCCAGCAUUUACACCCUAUGCCGCCCUAUGGCUAUGCCUACGGCCAGUGCAAGAAAUUUGAUUUCGCAAUCAAUCGCACAUGUGUGUUGUUUGUACACAAAGCUGACGCUGAGCACGUGUGUAAUUCUACCACACAUCUCGAACAGUCGAACUACACAUUUGCAAUGUGAACUUAAUUUAAACGAAGAAGAAUUUCCGAUGGCGACGAAGCGCGACAGCUUUUCAAAGCUCUCUAUUUUACAGAAGAGGAAAAUGCUGCAACAAAUGAAGAGGCCACCAGUCUACUACGAGCCGGAGUACGGCUCCAGGCCAGCGCCAGGCCCAGUCCCACUCUCAGUCUGAUUAUUGAGUCGAGUUUUGGCGAUUUGACAUCAGCUACGGGUUCGAAGAUUGCAGCAAGCAACGACGUUGUGUUCGAGCAGAUCCCGUUGGUGCAGAGAGAGGUGGAACUUGAAGUGUUCAGUGAAAGCAGUGUUGUUCAAAGAGAGAAAGUACAUCCAUGUACACUACAACAUGAACCCCAUGCAAGUGAAGUUGAGAUUCAAGCAGGUGGCUACUCAACAGAAGUAGAUUUCCCUUUCAAAAAGUCGGAUUGUUACAUUUCUGAAGUCGAUAUUAACUUUAAUUCACCAGAUCAACCCUGAGGAAGAAAACGUCAGAUGGUAUGUUUUGCUGACAUAGAGACAGAGUCUGACUCCUCUCAUUGCUCUGAAGCUGUAUCAUGUACGUGUAGAAGGAACUUCAGCAAAAAGCGAAAUGCAGCCUGUCUGGAAUUAGCGGCAAUACUGAGAAUGAAAUGCUGCAGAAGUUAUUGUCUUCAUAAGAUAUAAAGAAUAGAUGCAAGGCCCGCAGAGGAUUUCAGAACAAGACUCUAGCAGAUCAGAGGCUAUGGAUUUUGCAGUACCUUAUUGAACAUCACAACUUUGUAAACAUGGAUGGAGACUCAUCCUUGGGAUUACUAUGACCCGCUUAUGGAAGAUGGAGUCAGGGUUAGCAGAAGGAUUGGUGACAUCUCGUCCAUCAAAUCACCAUCGUAAAGGACUUUGUUCUUUGUCUGUGAUGAUGUCAAUGGUGUGGCUUAGUGAAUUUGUCGAUAAGUUUGGAGAGAAACUGCCAACCAACAACAAAAUCCAUCUUCUUCAUGCCUUAUACAUGGAAAUGUGUAUCGGAUUAUGAAGGAGGAUGUAGAAGAGCAAGGAGGUUCUGUUUGUAGUCAGCAAUACUUCUUCCGCAAAUGGAGAAUGGAAAUGUCUCAUGUUACCAUUCCAAAGGUAGGUGAUUCUCGUGAACCGGUUUUUGAAAUGCGACAUAUGCACCAAACUGAAAUCUUGCCUAGAGAAGACAACUGGCAGAGAAGAGAGACAAACUUUACUGCAAGAAAGAGAGUCACACCUUUUCCAGCAAAAGUCCAUCUAGGUACUAAGCAGAAAAGGCCUCAACAUCCAUUAUUAAAACUGGGAGAUACGGUUGCAGUCUACUUAGAAGAGUUCAGUAAUGAAUGGCCGCGAGUGAGCAAAGUGUUAAAAAUGACUGGAGACAGUGUGAAGCUGCAUUAGUACUCGGGAUCAGAAACGUCCACGUGGAUAUCGCCUACCACAUCAGUUCGAGGACAGAAGGGUCAGCCGUACACGGGAGAAGUCUCUCUUCAAGAAGUCAUUUCUUUCCCCUACAGUCUCACUAAAACAAACAAAUUACCAUAGGAUAUCCAGCGUCACGUGAAGAAUACUUUGCAUGUUAGGUCUGUAUGAACAUACACUGUAUUCAUACCAAUUUGGAAUGAGUUUGUUUGUCCAGGACUCAAAAGCUGUAUGUCUAUAUGGAAGCCACUUGAAUUAUGUGUUUUUGUGAUAUUACAAUGUACCUAUAUUUUUCCACAUUGGAUAUGGGGAUAAUUUCCAGGGUGUAUCUUCACAUGAGUUUGAUCACCUACAUGUAUCUACAUUUAGAAGAGAUAAAUGCACAAUGAUUGAUAGAGAGUUGGUACCUGAAGUAGGUAAUGAUUUAACUCUAAAUAGACUGGGCUAUUUCUACGCCUAAGAAGACUGGGGGGGGGGCUGAUUCAGCCCCCCUUAUGAUCUCAGCGGUCGAUCGCGCAAUCGCGACAAAAAUUGGCACACGCAUUACCCAUGGCAUUAUCUACAAGACUAUAACAUCAAAU
Long non-coding RNA from Lytechinus variegatus (green sea urchin), 2289 nucleotides. RefSeq lists it as uncharacterized. The transcript is spliced from 8 exons. The record is from RefSeq and is a predicted model, not a curated record. NCBI's taxonomy places the organism in Eukaryota, Metazoa, Echinodermata, Echinoidea, Temnopleuroida, Toxopneustidae.